CGGGUACCAUUGCUAGAUGGUCACUUUGAUUGGUAUAAAAAUUUAUUCUUGUGCUACUGGCUUAGGUUCGAAUCAUAAGGUCACACACAUUAGAGUUCACGAUCUGAUCAGAUGGUUGAUCAACGAUUAAGAAUCAUUCUAGGGUUGAACGAUCAAUACGAUUGACAUUUAACCUAGUGCAAGUGUUGCAGGAGGAUCGAUUAGCAAUUCGAUUGCUAAUUGGCUUAAUUUGAUUAAGUCAAUGGGCUG
This 249-nucleotide long non-coding RNA is filed under the name Elaeis guineensis (African oil palm). RNAcentral describes it as "long non-coding RNA (EGUI_LNC044529)". The record is from RNAcentral. Lineage: Eukaryota; Viridiplantae; Streptophyta; Magnoliopsida; Arecales; Arecaceae.